UGUUAGAAAGAGAAUUAAUGGUAGAUGA
Molecule: small RNA, 28 nt
Filed under: Bombyx mori (domestic silkworm)
Lineage: Eukaryota; Metazoa; Arthropoda; Insecta; Lepidoptera; Bombycidae
Description: ovarian small RNA-36020
Source: RNAcentral